RNAcentral lists this ribosomal RNA (253 nucleotides) under uncultured bacterium. RNAcentral's name for it is "partial 16S ribosomal RNA". It matches the Rfam family "Bacterial small subunit ribosomal RNA", at positions 524 to 776 of the family's 1533-position model. RNAcentral also lists the same sequence under 1 other name. The record is from RNAcentral.
UACGGAGGGUGCGAGCGUUAAUCGGAAUUACUGGGCGUAAAGCGUACGUAGGCGGUUUGUUAAGUCGGAUGUGAAAUCCCCGGGCUCAACCUGGGUGCUGCAUUCGAUACUGGCAGACUUGAAUACGGUAGAGGGGGGUGGAAUUCCAGGUGUAGCGGUGAAAUGCGUAGAGAUCUGGAGGAACACCAGUGGCGAAGGCGGCCCCCUGGACCGAUAUUGACGCUGAGGUACGAAAGCGUGGGGAGCAAACAGG